RNAcentral lists this ribosomal RNA (254 nucleotides) under uncultured bacterium. Its description in RNAcentral is "partial 16S ribosomal RNA". It matches the Rfam family "Bacterial small subunit ribosomal RNA", at positions 524 to 776 of the family's 1533-position model. The record is from RNAcentral.
UACGUAGGAGGCAAGCGUUGUCCGGAAUUACUGGGCGUAAAGCGCGUGUAGGUGGUGGGACAAGUCUGCUGUGAAAGCGCCUGGCUUAACCGGGCGAGGUCGGCGGAAACUGUCCGACUAGAGGACGGUAGGAGGGGGGUGGAAUUCCCGGUGUAGUGGUGAAAUGCGUAGAGAUCGGGAGGAACACCUGUGGCGAAGGCGGCCCCCUGGGCCGGCCCUGACACUGAGACGCGAAGGCGUGGGGAGCGAACAGG